This 301-nucleotide ribosomal RNA is filed under the name uncultured bacterium. RNAcentral's name for it is "partial 16S ribosomal RNA". It matches the Rfam family "Bacterial small subunit ribosomal RNA", at positions 509 to 807 of the family's 1533-position model. The record is from RNAcentral.
CAGCCGCCGCGGGAAUACGUAGGUGGCAAGCGUUGUCCGGAAUUAUUGGGCGUAAAGGGCUCGCAGGCGGUUUCUUAAGUCUGAUGUGAAAGCCCCCGGCUCAACCGGGGAGGGUCAUUGGAAACUGGGAAACUUGAGUGCAGAAGAGGAGGGUGGAAUUCCACGUGUAGCGGUGAAAUGCGUAGAGAUGUGGAGGAACACCAGUGGCGAAGGCGACUCUCUGGUCUGUCACUGACGCUGAGGCUCGAAAGCGUGGGUAGCGAACAGGAUUAGAUACCCCCGUAGUCCCUGUCUCUUAUAC